This 497-nucleotide ribosomal RNA is filed under the name uncultured bacterium. RNAcentral describes it as "partial 16S ribosomal RNA". It matches the Rfam family "Bacterial small subunit ribosomal RNA", at positions 28 to 507 of the family's 1533-position model. The record is from RNAcentral.
GAUGAACGCUGGCGGCGUGCCUAAUACAUGCAAGUCGAGCGAACGGACGAGAAGCUUGCUUCUCUGAUGUUAGCGGCGGACGGGUGAGUAACACGUGGAUAACCUACCUAUAAGACUGGGAUAACUUCGGGAAACCGGAGCUAAUACCGGAUAAUAUUUUGAACCGCAUGGUUCAAAAGUGAAAGACGGUCUUGCUGUCACUUAUAGAUGGAUCCGCGCUGCAUUAGCUAGUUGGUAAGGUAACGGCUUACCAAGGCAACGAUGCAUAGCCGACCUGAGAGGGUGAUCAGCCACACUGGAACUGAGACACGGUCCAGACUCCUACGGGAGGCAGCAGUAGGGAAUCUUCCGCAAUGGGCGAAAGCCGGACGGAGCAACGCCGCGUGAGUGAUGAAGGUCUUCGGAUCGUAAAACUCUGUUAUUAGGGAAGAACAUAUGUGUAAGUAACUGUGCACAUCUUGACGGUACCUAAUCAGAAAGCCACGGCUAACUACGUG